RNAcentral lists this ribosomal RNA (253 nucleotides) under uncultured bacterium. RNAcentral describes it as "partial 16S ribosomal RNA". It matches the Rfam family "Bacterial small subunit ribosomal RNA", at positions 524 to 776 of the family's 1533-position model. The record is from RNAcentral.
UACGUAGGGGGCGAGCGUUGUCCGGAUUCAUUGGGCGUAAAGCGCGCGUAGGCGGCUCCGCAAGUCGGCCGUGAAAUCUCCAGGCUCAACUUGGAGGGGUCGGGCGAGACUGCGGAGCUCGAGGUGGGCAGAGGGCAGUGGAAUUCCGGGUGUAGUGGUGGAAUGCGUAGAGAUCCGGAGGAACACCAGUGGCGAAGGCGGGUCUCUGGGCCGAUACUGACGCUGAGGAGCGAAAGCGUGGGGAGCGAACAGG